GAGUUUGAUCAUGGCUCAGGAUGAACGCUAGCGAUAGGCUUAACACAUGCAAGUCGAGGGGCAUCACGAGGUAGCAAUACUUUGGUGGCGACCGGCGUACGGGUGCGUAACACGUAUGCAACCUUCCUGUAAGUGUGGGAUAGCCUCCCGAAAGGGAGAUUAAUACCUGAUGAUAUGUAUUUGCUGCAUGGCAUUUACAUUAAACAUUUAUGGCUUACAGAUGGGCAUGCGUUCCAUUAGGCAGUUGGUGUGGUAACGGCUCACCAAACCUACGAUGGAUAGGGGUUCUGAGAGGAAGGUCCCCCACACUGGAACUGAGACACGGUCCAGACUCCUACGGGAGGCAGCAGUGAGGAAUAUUGGUCAAUGGGCGCGAGCCUGAACCAGCCACGUCGCGUGAAGGAUGACGGCCUUAUGGGUUGUAAACUUCUUUUACAGGGGAAUAAAGUGAGUCACGUGUGAUUUUUUGCAUGUACCCUGUGAAUAAGCAUCGGCUAACUCCGUGCCAGCAGCCGCGGUAAUACGGAGGAUGCGAGCGUUAUCCGGAUUUAUUGGGUUUAAAGGGUGCGUAGGCGGGAUAUUAAGUCAGCGGUGAAAGUUUUCGGCUCAACCUUAAAAUUGCCGUUGAAACUGUUAUUCUUGAGUGCAGUAGAGGUAGGCGGAAUUCGUUGUGUAGCGGUGAAAUGCGUAGAUAUAACGAGGAACUCCGAUUGCGUAGGCAGCUUACUAUAUUGCUACUGACGCUGAGGCACGAAAGUGUGGGUAUCAAACAGGAUUAGAUACCCCCGGUAGUCCACACA
Molecule: ribosomal RNA, 800 nt
Filed under: uncultured bacterium
Lineage: Bacteria
Description: bacterial SSU rRNA
Rfam family: Bacterial small subunit ribosomal RNA
Source: RNAcentral